This is a long non-coding RNA of Solanum pennellii, 518 nucleotides long. RefSeq lists it as uncharacterized. NCBI's taxonomy places the organism in Eukaryota, Viridiplantae, Streptophyta, Magnoliopsida, Solanales, Solanaceae. The record is from RefSeq and is a predicted model, not a curated record. The transcript is spliced from 2 exons.
UUAAUAUAAAAGAAAAAUUGUAAGAUAGCAAGACAUGGCAAAAAAUACAGUCUUCAUUUCCCUACUCUUGUGUCUUCUCCUUGUUGCUGCUACUGAAAUGCAGAUGGCAGAAGGACAUGAUUGUGGGAAAAAAAGUGACAAGUGGCAUGGGCCUUGCCAAUAUACUUUCAAAUGUAAUAAGCACUGCAAGCAUUGGUUUGGACAUAAAUAUUAUGGAAUUUGUAAGAAAUACAAAGGGGGACACGAUAAUGAUUGGUCUAAUUAUGCUUGCUAUUGCUAUUCUCCUUGCCAUUAAUCACAAGGAACAUCAAAGUCUCAAGGUCUAAUUAUACAUAAAUAAGCAGUUGAUGUGAUUUGUUAGUUGUUUGUGUGUGUGACAAUGUAAUAAGACAUGUUAAGGCAAUAGCAUGACUAUUUUGGUAGAGCUUUUGUGUUAGCUUUUUCAUUAUAUGUGUUUCAUUGUGUUGGUGUUUUAUGCGAACUAUGGUACUAUAUGAAUAAUACUGGUGGUUUUGUUA